GAUGAACGCUGGCGGCGUGCCUAAUACAUGCAAGUCGAGCGGACGGACGAGGCUUGCUCCUUUCUUAAGUUGGCGGCGGGUGGGUGAGGCAUAGGUGGAUAACCUAUCUAUAGGACUGGGAUAACGUCGGGAAACCGGAGCUAAUACCGGAUCAUAGUUUGAAAGGGAUGGAUCAAAAGAGAAAGACCGUCUUGCUGACACUAAUAGAUGGAUCCUGGUUGCAUUAGCUAGUUGGUAAGGUAAAGGCUUACCAAGGCGACGAUGCGUAGCCGACCUGAGAGGAUGAUCGGCCACACUGGAACUGAGACACGGUCCAGACUCCUACGGGAGGCAGCAGUAGGGAAUAUUCCGCAAUGGGCGAAAGCCUGACGGAGCCACGCCGCGUGAGUGAAGAAGGUCUUCGGAUUGUAAAACACUGUUAGUAGGGAAGAACAUAAGUAUAAGUAAAUGUUCAUGUCUUGACGGUACCUAAUGAAUAAGCCACGGCUAACUACGUG
This 497-nucleotide ribosomal RNA is filed under the name uncultured bacterium. RNAcentral's name for it is "partial 16S ribosomal RNA". It matches the Rfam family "Bacterial small subunit ribosomal RNA", at positions 28 to 507 of the family's 1533-position model. The record is from RNAcentral.